Molecule: ribosomal RNA, 199 nt
Filed under: uncultured bacterium
Lineage: Bacteria
Description: partial 16S ribosomal RNA
Rfam family: Bacterial small subunit ribosomal RNA
Source: RNAcentral
AGUCUGCAACUCGACUGCACGAAGCUGGAAUCGCUAGUAAUCGCGGAUCAGCAUGCCGCGGUGAAUACGUUCCCGGGCCUUGUACACACCGCCCGUCACACCAUGAGAGUCGGGAACACCCGAAGUCCGUAGCCUAACCGCAAGGAGGGCGCGGCCGAAGGUGGGUUCGAUAAUUGGGGUGAAGUCGUAACAAGGUAAC